This is an RNA transcript of Anguilla rostrata (American eel), 4671 nucleotides long. It is a transcript of the gene named KH domain containing, RNA binding, signal transduction associated 1b, with no coding region annotated. The record is from RefSeq and is a predicted model, not a curated record. Lineage: Eukaryota; Metazoa; Chordata; Actinopteri; Anguilliformes; Anguillidae. The transcript has 12 exons.
CCGUCGCAGGCUUUGUUCUACCAUUUCCAAAGCAGCGAGGAAAGAAGGUAGCCAUUACAGAGUGGUCUGUGAAAUCUUACCAAACCCUGGUGCAGCGGACGCCGUAAGACUGGACAAAACAGUGUUGAUCAAAACAUUUUCGACAUAUUAAGCGAGUAGUAACAAUAACAAAAUGGAGAACGAAAGCAAAUAUCUUCCAGAACUGCUGGCAGAAAAAGACAGCUUGGAUUCGUCGUUCACUCAUGCAAUGAAACUUGUAACUGCAGAAAUUGAGAGGAUUCAGAAGGGCGAGCCAAAAAAAGAGGAAGGAGAGACCUACUUGGACCUUUUCACUGCAAAGAAUGUCAAAUUGAAGGAGAGAGUGCUCAUUCCAGUCAAGCAGUAUCCCAAGUUCAACUUUGUGGGGAAGAUUCUGGGUCCCCAAGGGAACACAAUUAAGCGUCUCCAGGAGGACACGGGCGCCAAGAUCUCCGUCCUGGGAAAAGGGUCCAUGAGGGACAAAGCCAAGGAGGAGGGUCUGAGAAAAAGCGGUGAGCCCAAGUAUGCCCACCUGUCCAUGGAGCUGCACGUCUUCAUCGAGGUGUUCGCCCCGGUGCCAGAGGCCUACCUGCGCAUGGCCCACGCUAUGGAGGAGGUCAAGAAGUUCCUGUUUCCUGAUAUGAUGGAUGAUAUCUGCCAGGAGCAGUUUAUGGAGAUGAGCUACCUGAACGGGGGCCAGGAGCCCGGAACCCGGGGCAGAGGAGGCCCACCAGUCCGAGGACGUGGAGCACCCCCACCGCCUGCGCCUGGGGCCAGGAAGCCGGACAACCCAGAGCUGACGAAGUGCAGCGGGCAUCUCUUAGCUGCUGAUUGGGGAAGCACCAUAUUUCCUGUUGGAUUCCUCUUUGGCUCCUGUAGCAGGGGUCCAGUCAGGUGGGACUGCGGACAGCAGUCAUUCAGGGGCCGAGGAAUGGCACCACGCGGAGGUGCCCCACGGGGGGGCCCGGCCAGGGGCGGAGCCGUUAGGGGUGGUCCCUCGGGGCGCGGCGGACCCCCCGCCCAGCCUGCCCGAGGGGCAGCAGCUGGCCGCGCCAGGCCCCCUGCACCAGGGCCACAGAGGAUGCCCCCUUCACACCCCCCAGCGCCCGAGCCCUACGAAGAAUAUACCUAUGAAGAAAGCUACACUGAGCCAACUUAUGAAACAUAUGACAAUUACUACACUCAACCACAGGCAGAACCUGAGUACUAUGACUACGGGCACGGGGAAGCACAGGAGGCAUACGAGCCGUACGGUCAGGAUGACUGGAAUGGAAACCGGGCUUCUGGCGGUGGAAAAGCCCCCCAGUCCAGGCCAGCCACCAAAGGGCCGUACAGGGAACACCCUUAUGGAAGAUACUGAAAUGGGCAAAGAGGAAGUUCAUGUUAAGCACGUUGCCCUGACAACCUACUGUCUCCAUUGGCAGCUCUCGCUUUAAGCAACCACACAAAAGCAAUAAAAUGGAGGCUGGACAAAGAUGAUGGAAAGAGAUGAGCUGCCCUCUGUUUGCUCAGGGGCUCUGCAGAACACUCUUAAGGGUGGGAGUCUGUCCAACAUUAUGGCCUGAACAAAAAUGUGAAUGGGAGAAAGUGGUAGAGAAUGCCACUGCCAUCUGUGAAGACCCCAAACCUGUCCCCUUCCAAAUAAUGCAGAACCCAAAAACCGUCCUUAUGAUUGCAUCACGCCACCUGCUCUCGAUUGCUCAUUGGUUGUAGUUGACUGUAUUGUGGGUAGCGAUCUGAAAGUUGUGCAAUUUGAGAGAAUAUCUUCAGAACCAUCAUCAUCUUAUUAACUCUGCCCACAAGGAUAAGGCGUUUCAGUCACGUACAUUUUACCCAGGUAUCCCCACCCACUGAAAACUUGGCAUUUAGCCAAAGGGGUAAGCAAGCCAAUCUCAGCAAAGGCUUUUCUUUGUUCCCCCCUGAAGAAUCAUUUAAAAGUAUUUCUGGACCAUAUUUGAAUGCAAAAAAGUAUAACGCAUGAGAAAAGAAUUUACAGAUUUCAGUGUCCUGGACCUUUAAUGGCAUUUUUACUCACUUUUUCACAAUUCGGGCACCAUAAUGUUUGUGACAUAUUAACAUUGUGUGAUUGAAAGCAGUCAUAUUUAGUUGGUACUUUGUUGCAUAUACUUUGCAUGCAAUGACUGCUUAAAUCUGUGACCCAUAGACAUCACCAGGUGCUGCGUAUCUUCUCUGGUGAUGCUCUGCCAGGACUGUACUGCAGCCAUCUUCAGCUCCUGCUUGUUUCUGGGGCUAGUUGCGUUAAAUGUUCUCUUCAGCAUGUGAAACACAUGUUCAAUUUGAUUCAGUUCAGGUGAAUUACUUGGCCAGUCAAGAAUUUUCUAGUUUUUGGUUUUGGAAACCUCCUUUGUUAUUUAGCAGUAGGUGUGGGAUCAUUGUCUUGCCGUUGGGUUGAGCGCCGUCCAAUGAUUUUGGAGGCAUUUGCUUGGACUUGAGCAGAUAAGAUGCUUCUGUGCUCUUCAGAAUUAAUUCUGCUGCUGCUAUCAGCAGUUACAUCAAUGAAGGCAAGUGAGCCAGUAUCUGCGUCAGCCAUACUUGCCCAAACUGUAACACAUCAGUCUACAGCUGUGUAGGUCUUCCUUGGAUUUUGCGAUUACUGAGAUCACCAGUGAUCUUUCUUCUUAAUGAAGUUCCAAACAGUUCAUUUUGGUAAGCUUGGUUUGGCCUAAUUCUCAAGUUUAGCAUCAAGACUAGAUACUGAAGCUGUCUUAUACCUGCACUGAGGAAGCAACUGAACACACCUGACUAAGCAGAAAAGCCUGCGAAGCCAUUUGUCCCAAAUAUUAUGGUGACCUGAAAUGGGGGGGAUAUGCGAAUAAGAAGUGAUGUAAUUUCUACAUGGUGAAACCAAAAUGUAUUAAAAUGCCCUUUAAUACAAGCUGAGAAUGUACGCACACUACAUAUAUUAACUGUUUGAUUGCAAAUCUAAAAUUGUGCAGUACAGAAAUAUGAACAUAAUCUUUUUUUCUGAACAUUAUACAGCUCGCUGUGUGUGUGUAUUUUUGCCUUAUUUGUGCUUCCUUAUUACCAACACAACAUUUUAAAUAUAUUUUAUUUAUGCAAGGCAAGCGAUUUUUCCACCACAGUUUUGUACAUAAUCGAAUAUGCAAGAGGAUUUAAAAUGCAUUCCGGUUCCGUUGCCUGUUUCAAGGUUCUGUUAUCCUCAGAAUGAAUUGCUAUGGUAAUGUCUGUGGCUUCAUUCUGUUGGCAGUGUGGGUGGAAAGGGGAAGGGUGAGCUCUGAAUGUAAAAAUGCCGCCUGCAUCCACAACCAUCAGCUGGCUUGCAACUGCGGUGUGUGCCCUUAUCCCUUUUAGCCUCCCCCCCCCCGUCUAUAAAAGAUGGUUUUCGCAUGAGAAAUCAUUUGUGGUGUUGACUUGUAGGUCACGCACGUGCGCGCGCAGCCGUGUGAGGAGUUCAGCCUUCCUACAAACUCACUUCAGGCCAGCCGUUCCCUCCAGUCCCUCCCACAGCACUGCAGGUAAUGCUGAUGGCAGCAUUUGAAACCGGGCUGUGUGGUAUAAUGUUAAGCACAAGUCGCUCAUGGCUGUAGAUUUAAUGAGCGUUAGCCUCUGCCUGGGCUCCAUUUUAAAAAAUUGAAAAUCUGUGAGAAGCGAUCUGUAAUGGACACAAAUGCAAAGAGAAUCCCUAAAAGCGGAUAAUGGGACAACUCCAUUAGUGUUGUGUCGCUGAAUGGAGGGGUAAAAAAAGAUCUUCAGCGGUAUAUAAUAUGGCAGAAGGCUUUAAAAUGUGCCAUUGCUAAUGAUAGGGGUCAUGCUUUCAGUAGCUUAGAUCAGGUUGGUGGUGGCAGAUUAAUAUAAUACAAAAGAUGAAAAGCACAUUGAUGCUGACUAUCAGAUGGUGGACACAUUGUGGUUUUUCAAUGGGUGGCUGCCUGUGGAAUUAAAAAAAGUGCUCGUGUUUUUCUCCCUUUGUGGGAUGAAUGUAAGAAGAUGGCCCAUUUUUAAAACUGCAUAAUGCCAUUCAGCCCAUUAGUUUUUUUGAAACCCGUGCUAAUUGAGCACCAGCCUGCAGUGGCACAGGUUCAGCCUCUGCCUUUGUCCAAACAUGGCUGUUUAAACCAUGCCUGUACAUUGCACUUUCUCAGUCACCAGACUCGGAAUGAUGAACCCAUGGCUACAUGGGUUCUGCAUUCUAAAAGUUUUCUGAGACUGCCAUUGGUUGCAGCUUGUAUAUGUUCAAGAUGCUUGACUAUUUAAUUUGUCUGGUCCAAUGGAUCGCCAAGGUUUCUGGCGAGUGCGUCUCUGCUCAUGAAUAUUCAUGAACAGUCGCAAUGUAUUUGAUGCUAGAAUGAUGGCAUCCAAACCACAUAACAGUUUUUCUAAUUAAUAUUCAUAUGCAUAUGUUAUUCCUGGGCAGAAAUACACUUUGGAAGGGCCAGAAGUAGAUGGAAUGACUUGUGAGCAGAAUCGUUCGUUUUUGUUGUAGCUACAUGAAGGUUGUGUGCGAACAGUUGUGUAGGAACAGAUGUAACGCUAGAGCAAGGACAGAUCUGACAAACGAAGGGCAUCAACCUGCAGUGAUUUCAGACCACUGAUCUACACAACUUUUGCCUGGAGUACUUUGUUUCCUACUGUCUUUUGUUCAGUUUUUAAUAAAAUGCGUUUUUGACUUUG